RNAcentral lists this ribosomal RNA (607 nucleotides) under uncultured bacterium. RNAcentral's name for it is "bacterial SSU rRNA". It matches the Rfam family "Bacterial small subunit ribosomal RNA", at positions 338 to 873 of the family's 1533-position model. The record is from RNAcentral.
CCUACGGGAGGCAGCAGUGGGGAAUUUUGGACAAUGGGCGCAAGCCUGAUCCAGCAAUGCCGCGUGCAGGAUGAAGGCCUUCGGGUUGUAAACUUGCUUUUGUACGGAACGAAACGGUGAGCUCUAAUACAGUUUGCUAAUGACGGUACCGUAAGAAUAAGCACCGGCUAACUACGUGCCAGCAGCCGCGGUAAUACGUAGGGUGCGAGCGUUAAUCGGAAUUACUGGGCGUAAAGCGUGCGCAGGCGGUGAUGUAAGACAGAUCGUGAAAUCCCCGGGCUCAACCUGGGACCUGCAUUUGUGACUGCAUCGCUAGAGUACGGGUAGAGGGGGUAUGGAAUUCCGCGUGUAGCAGUGAAAUGCGUAGAUAUGCGGAGGAACACCGAUGGCGAACGGCGAAUCCCCUGGACCUGUACUGACGCUCAUGCACGAAAGCGUAGGGGAGCAAACAGGAUUAGGAUACCCUGGUAGUCCACGCCUAACGAUGUCAACUGUUNUUGGGUCUCACUNNCAGAGAGACGACGCGNGAGUGUCGCGUGGUUAGUUACGUCGCGAGUAGAAGUUAAGAGUGAGNGNGAGAGNGCGACGGACGACGACGAGGAGGAGG